AUUGAACGCUGGCGGCAGGCCUAACACAUGCAAGUCGAGCGGAUGAAGGGAGCUUGCUCCUGGAUUCAGCGGCGGACGGGUGAGUAAUGCCUAGGAAUCUGCCUGGUAGUGGGGGAUAACGUCCGGAAACGGGCGCUAAUACCGCAUACGUCCUGAGGGAGAAAGUGGGGGAUCUUCGGACCUCACGCUAUCAGAUGAGCCUAGGUCGGAUUAGCUAGUUGGUGGGGUAAAGGCCUACCAAGGCGACGAUCCGUAACUGGUCUGAGAGGAUGAUCAGUCACACUGGAACUGAGAAACGGUCCAGACUCCUACGGGAGGCAGCAGUGGGGAAUAUUGGACAAUGGGCGAAAGCCUGAUCCAGCCAUGCCGCGUGUGUGAAGAAGGUCUUCGGAUUGUAAAGCACUUUAAGUUGGGAGGAAGGGCAGUAAGUUAAUACCUUGCUGUUUUGACGUUACCAACAGAAUAAGCACCGGCUAACUUCGCG
Molecule: ribosomal RNA, 484 nt
Filed under: uncultured bacterium
Lineage: Bacteria
Description: partial 16S ribosomal RNA
Rfam family: Bacterial small subunit ribosomal RNA
Source: RNAcentral